RNAcentral lists this ribosomal RNA (387 nucleotides) under uncultured bacterium. Its description in RNAcentral is "bacterial SSU rRNA". It matches the Rfam family "Bacterial small subunit ribosomal RNA", at positions 29 to 417 of the family's 1533-position model. The record is from RNAcentral.
AUUGAACGCUGGCGGAAUGCUUUACACAUGCAAGUCGAGCGGCAGCACGGGGGCAACCCUGGUGGCGAGCGGCGAACGGGUGAGUAACACAUCGGAACGUACCCUGUCGUGGGGGAUAACGAGUCGAAAGAUUCGCUAAUACCGCAUACGACCCGAGGGUGAAAGCGGGGGAUCGCAAGACCUCGCGCGACUGGAGCGGCCGAUGGCGGAUUAGCUAGUUGGUGGGGUAAAGGCCCACCAAGGCGACGAUCCGUAGCGGGUCUGAGAGGACGGCCCGCCACACUGGGACUGAGACACGGCCCAGACUCCUACGGGAGGCAGCAGUGGGGAAUAUUGGACAAUGGGCGCAAGCCUGAUCCAGCAAUGCCGCGUGCAGGAAGAAGGCCU